This 24-nucleotide non-coding RNA is filed under the name Arabidopsis thaliana (thale cress). The record is from RNAcentral. Lineage: Eukaryota; Viridiplantae; Streptophyta; Magnoliopsida; Brassicales; Brassicaceae.
ACGGUCAUUUCAAAAGUUCACGGU